UGUGUGUGUGUAUGUGUGUAUAAAUUUAUAUAUGCACACAUGCAAACAGUUCCUGGAAGAGAACUCUGAAUGCUCUGCUAGCAAAACACUGUGGUGUGCAAAUCUAGAACUCAGUAGAAAAAAAGCCAUUUAUCUGAAGGCUGCAUAGUGGAGAAAGUCUUCAGUUUACCUCAUUCUUUGUAGCAGCCCUUGAUUUUAACAGGUUUUUGUAAUAGGUACAAAAAUCCCAUGCCUUUCUAGGUGCAAUUUUAAGUUAAGCUAAAAAUUCUUUGUAGGGUUAAUUUAUUUGUGUAUGAUAGUAGAAGGUAAGAUCUUGUCAAACCUUAUGAUUUGGGGAAUCUGACACUAUUUAAAUUAUUGGAAACUGUUUAUUGUACAGAGAUUCUUUUUUCUACUGGCUCGGUCUGUUACAUUAAUGAUGCGUUUUUAUAUGUUCAAGCACACAACUUUACAUAAGUACAAAGCUCACUAGUAAAAUCAGCCUGUUUUGACAUUUGCAACACUAAUUUCACUCCAGCGUGAAAAAGUUAAAUUUAUGUUCUUUUCUGUAAGCACUACCUGAGCAAUACAGUAUUUCCUUUAUAUGCUCUACAUAUGACUUUGCUAAAAACUAACAUUUUAAAAUUUGCUUUAAAGGGCUGUAUUCAACCCACAGCUUUUAAGUUUGUUCCCAAAAGAAGCAUUACAGCUAAUCCUUAGACUCACAGAUAGUUGAAAAUACAGUGUUUCUCUUCUCCACAUUUCUAUGCCUUUGCAUCAAGGCUUAGGUUUGUUUUUGUUUGUUUUGUUUGUUUUGUUUUGUUUUACUGGUGAAUCUUAAUAGAGAAUCUUCUGUUGGGAAUGUGGGGCAGAAGAUUGUCUGUUAGCUAAGCUUUUCUUCUUCAUAGUGAAAUGGCAACCCAAAUGUCCCUUCCAGUUUAAUGAGAGUUCUGUGUAGCCAAUCUUCUCACAGCUAGAAAUGAACACAUUGUUUCUAAAAAAACUACACUGUCAUGUGUAUGAGGGUCACUUUGGAGACGGCCCUCCUCCUCAGAUAAUCAAAGUACAAAAUGGAGGAGUUUGAUGUGUUUCACACUGGCUUUUUCGAUGCUUGUAUAUCUUAGGGUUAAUUCUGCAGUAUUUCAAGAGAGAAAAUCUCAAUGUUUUUUGGCUCAUUCAAGAGCUGGGGGAGAGAUGAAUCCACCCUGUGGUGCAUUCCUUGAUUGUUUUUGGGAGAAUGCCAUCUUUUCCCUUCCCAUUUGUAAAAGAAGCCUUAGAGAAAUCCUAAAGGAGAUUGUUUUCCCCAAGUGUUAUGAUACCUAGUCAGUUCCAAGGAAACCACUGGAUAUAUUCUACCGACAUUUGGGUUUUCGUCUUCCAGUUUGAUUGGAUUAGUCUUCAGUCAAAUGGUUCACUUUGAAGGAAAACUUUGGUUGUCACUAUUAUACCACUGAGGUAAAGUGUUAGCAAAGAAUGGUCUAAAGUAAUUCGUGAUAUGACCAAGAGCUUUUCUCUUCCAAAAGAUGAAUUUUAUUGUAAAUAGUUUCUCAAAGUAUUUUUAACUGGAUCAUAAGCAUGGGGAGAGAAAGUUUCUCAGCUGCUAAGAAUUUCCCCACUGUUUACGUCUUUCACUUACAGUGGUAUUGCAUAUAAGAUUACGGAAUUUAAGAUUUUAUUUGUAUCUCAUUACCCAAACCAUUAAAAUGUCUUUAUUUUCGUCGCUGUCCUGAGGUCCGGUGCCUGAGAGGCUGAGGGGAAAUUCCCCCACGGCCAGCUAGCACUCUAACCCAGAAUUAGAACCAUCCCAUCAAGUAGUAUGUGAAGUCAAGUCUUUGUACUCUUCCAGACCAAACAAUGAAAUGGACUCAUUCAUAUAAAUUUCUAUAAAUCCUGUAAGUGAAAAGCUAGACAACUGCUAGCAGUUGCUUUUAAACAGGUCACUAUAAUAAGUACCGCAUAGUACAGUAUUAAUUUAUAGCAGGAAUUCAUAUCUUGUAAACUGUAUAUAAAAACACUGUUUUAUGGUGCAAUCAUUUGUCAAAACUUUUGUCUGUUACAUUGUUUCUAGAGUGUGUGCAUUACUCUCAUACCUAAGAAUAUCACUGUAAAAUCUGCUGAAAACUUUUUAGGUUUUAUUUGCACAAGACUGAAUUAGUUUGAAUUCUUGAAAGCUCCUAUUGAACAUGUCUAAACAUCUGUAAACAUGAAAAAGUCUUCAGUUCAUUAAAAGCAAAUGUUUCAGUAUGAUUCUUUCCAAAGGUGAUCCAUGUUCUAUGUUGUUACUGUGAGUAUGUAAUUCUUCUGACUCUUCCACCUCUUACAAAUCUAGUUUCUGUUUCAUUUGUUUUAUUUUUGAAGGAAGGCUCUUUUUUCUUUUUAAUGUUCUAGAUGACCAAAACGCUUUAUUGGUUUUUACAUGUUUGCCUAAAGCUUUGAUAUCCCCACUUGAUGUUCUAUGAAUUUACUAACCUCUUAAAUAAUAAAUGGUCCUGGUGACAGUCUGUUGACUUAGAGGAGAGGCCAUGAAAAAGUAUUGGAAACUAACUUAGCAUCUACUCUAAGCUAUUAUUUCUGCAUCGUGGGCUUCAUGGGAAGACCAUGUUGCAUUUAUUUUGUCUUUAUUAAAAGACUACUAGCCACAAGUGACUAUCGGUUUGGUAAUUAUUUUAUCAGCCCACUUUGAUUUUGAAAAAUUAAAAAUUACAUUUCCAAUUCAAAAUAGUAAGUUGUCUUUCAGAAAAUUUUUGAAGGAUAAAAAUAACAUGAAAGAAAAAAGUGGCCUGUGUAGGUAGCAUUUCUUACACGGGACUUUUAGUUGUAUCACCUCAAGAGAUUUUAAAGUUUGUGAUCAAGGUCUGUGUAUUUUCCCAAACUUUAUUAAGAAUUGUUUUCUAAUUGGUUAUAACAUUUUUCAAUUAAUAGUUUCAAAGCAAAUUGUUAAUACAACUGUACAAAAUGAACAUAAUUUUCUUCACUUGUAUUUUUGUUAUUGAGCAAGUUUAUCAAAAAUAAAUUGUCUACUAAAGAAACUAAAAAGGCUUUUAUUACUUUAAGCUUUUAUCAGAAAUUUCUUACGGAUGUUUCACACAUUCACACACUGACACUUUGAAUGUCUCUUGGAUUGGUUUUGUUGUUGGCAUUGCAUUGGGGCGGUAAGGGGUGGGGUGAUUCUCGCCAUCCCAUCUUCCAGUCCCCCUCCUGCUUCCAGCUCACCUCUAUGAAAGAGAUGCCAUUAAUGUUCUAGGAUGUGGAUUAGGCCAUGUUUACCAUUAAGAGUUGCUAAGCAGUGAAAGACCACCCACAUACAAGGGGCUCUUUGUUCUACAUCUUUUUUUUUUUUUUUUUUUUUUUUUUUUUUUUUAUGGCUUCAGGAAACCACUCUGGAGCUGUUCAGGCCAGACAUUUUUUUCUUGUUUCUUCUUGGCACAUAGACCUAAGUCCAUCUUUGCUUCCAGGUCAAAAGGUUGCAGCUUCUUUUUUUGUUUGUUUUUUGUUUAUUAGUUAUUUUUAGGAUAUAGCUUCUAAGAGCUUAAAAUAUGGAUUAGAGGAGCAUUAUAGAGGCUCUUGCAUUUUAUAUUUAUCUGUGUGCCCUAUCACAGCUUUGCCAUAGUUCUCUGGAGGUAUUGGGAUUGGCUAAAUGAUAAAAUAUUUCCCUUUUAAUCUCUUUAUUGGUUUAUUCAGGAGCCUGACAGGGAGUUGAAGGAUGAAGAAAUUUUAAGAUUUAAAUAUUGGGUGCUGGGAAGUAAGGCGUCUUCAGAAUGUGCUUUCUGAUCCUAUUUCACCUGAAACUGGGAUCUCCCAAGACAUAGGACUUUGAGUGCUGUAACUUGGAAAGUUCUGGGAAAACUGGAAUGAAUUUGACCACACCAUCCAAAUCUUGUCUUGAUUUAUUACACAGACUAGAGGUAUCUAAAGGAUUCUUGUCUUGUAAAGCUUGAUGAGUAGGUCAGUUGUAAACUGCAAUGGUAGACAUCUGUUUGUUUGAAUGCUAUUUCUCUGAGUGACACCUUCAGAAAAGGUAACCAAUGACUUUAAAAACAGUAAUACAGGUUCAAAAAUAUCUUAAUGGCUUUCCAUCUACUUUGUUCUAGCCACUAUAUGAAACAGUUACAGGAAACUGAAAAACACCAAGACUAUAUAGGAGUAUGAGUUUCUUUUAUGCCAAGUCAACUCUUCUGGUUCACAGUUACCAGCAAUAAAGGAUUUCCCUGUGGACUCAAGAACGCUUAUACCACUGAAUUCCUAGCGCUUUAACAUUGUUACUUACACAAGGAGGACCAGGAUGAUGCAAGCACUGUGUUGACCCCGAGAGAACUCUCCGGAGGCUUCAUGAAACUUGUGGGUUCUCUGCUGUCUUGAAGCUAUACAUUUGGUAUGUUUGCAAAGACUUGGUUCUGCCAAGAUGGUUUUAGUUAUUUCUGCUGAAAGGAAUGGACUCAAGCAUUUGAA
Long non-coding RNA from Ochotona curzoniae (black-lipped pika), 4428 nucleotides. RefSeq lists it as uncharacterized. NCBI's taxonomy places the organism in Eukaryota, Metazoa, Chordata, Mammalia, Lagomorpha, Ochotonidae. The record is from RefSeq and is a predicted model, not a curated record. The transcript is spliced from 2 exons.